GGGAAAGAGGGAGUCGCACUUAGGGCUAGAAUUAUAUUUCUCUUGGUCAUAUCAGUCGUGUGGAGGGACGGUUUCCGCGAAGUAUUAGGACUUAAGUCCGAGCUUUUUAGCCUGUUACCCGGUACAUUACUAUUUAAACAUUUAUAUUGCAAUGAUUUGGGAUCAAAUGAACGACCGAAGUCACAAAGAUAACUACAAAGAUCCUCGUUACAACUUGGUAUGGGCGCACGAUGCAAACGGAGUUAAUCUAGGAAGACGCUAGUCAAUUUAUUGUAUCUUAAAUUACAAUCCGUAACAGGACCACAAUUACACUUGGGAUGUUUAUCAUUUGAGUGAUUAAUAUUAGUAUUUCGUGGAGCCGUCGAACAAAUUUCUUUAACCAUAUUUCAAAGGCUCCUCGCUUUUCCAUUUAUGUUGCUGUACUUCCCUUAAUAAAAAAAUUGCUGGGUAGAUUUCUGGUUGCUUAAUUAAAAAAAAAUCUGGUCGAUUGUUUUGCAUUUGAAGGCUUGAGCUUUUGCGCCGUCUACUGGACAAUGAAAAUACUACAGCCAGGAUUUACUGCAACUUUCUUUGGGCUACAAGUACGUUUCUCGGAGAGGAUGGGAGCUGGCACUGGAGAGGCCAGGGGCGUCCCGCGUCUCGGCAGAAAGGAAUGAAAACGCACCCUGGCCACAAGAGCUGUAGUUUUAUUUAUUUAAGUAUUUAUAUUUAUUUUUACGACGUCCAAAUAUCCGGUGAGCUCCAGUUUAAAGGGCUCAAAUACAGUGCAUGCAGCAAUCAGCUACAUUGAGACCGAGCUCGUGAAGACAGUUUGAAUGACACGUGUGAGACAGAACUGGACAUCUAGAUAGAUGCGAGAGAGAGAAUUGGGGAGGAAUAUUUGGACGUGGUUUACUACUCCUCUGGGAGAAUUUUGGGGGGUCGGGGAUGCAGGUACCUUAGGCUUCUCCCCAGGCAAAAGGCAUCUUUCACAUGCGAGCAACCCCGAGCUCCACGUAAGGAGCGAAAGACGUUUGAAAAAAUAUAUAGUUUUGGAGAGGGGGAGGGCAUUUAGAUUCUGUUUCAGAAAAGAAACUCAUGAAAAUACAGGAGAAAACCUACUGCAUUUGUAUUCCCACAGGAAAAAAUAUUUUAAAGAAAGAAUUCCUACAAAGAAAAUAGUUGGUUAUUUCCUGCCAGCUCUACCAAUUCUGGGUGGGAAGGAAAAUAGAUGGGGCAAAAUACUUCAAUCAAUCAAUCAAUCAAUCAAAACUGCUCUGUAGUGCUUUGUGGUUCAACUAUGAGCAAGAAUACUGGAAUUCUCACAACAGAGCCUGCUUGCUGGUCUGGCCGGAAGCAGGAAGCACUGAAAACCACAUGGGAAAGCCUGGCUUUGCAAGAUUUCCAGGACAGUUUUUCAGGCACUUGAAGUUCAGAUAGUUGGGACAAGCAUCUCAGCUAAACCACUGAAAUUUUUGAGGUUUGCUCAUCUUUAAGUGAGACACAAACAAAUGAGGAAAUUAAUAAUUAAGGCCAACAUUCCAUCUUUCAUUCAUCCUGUUGUUCCAGGGUGUAUAAGUGCCUCAAACUAAAUAUAAGCAACAUUAUAUGAGUUAUUUAAAAAAAAGAAGACUUGCAUUGGGUUCAGCAGGAAUUAGAUUGGACUAUAUUGUGGUGCAAUGCCCAAGGACCAUGGGAUAAGAAAAAUAUGGAGUGUCAGCCUGGGGUUUGAAUUUAUUUUGUUGUAUCCCAAGCAGUACCUGAAACCUAGUGUUUUACAUGUUAACAAUACAUUUGUUACAGCUGUCUUGUGGAAUGCUUAAUU
This is a long non-coding RNA of Gavialis gangeticus (Gharial), 1804 nucleotides long. RefSeq lists it as uncharacterized. NCBI's taxonomy places the organism in Eukaryota, Metazoa, Chordata, Crocodylia, Gavialidae. The transcript has 4 exons. The record is from RefSeq and is a predicted model, not a curated record.